AUAAAACAUAAAAUACAAAAGGAAUGGUUUUGCAAUUUAUAUAAAAUAUACAUUUAUUUGAUUCUUCAUAAAACACAAUCAUGAACUCGAAGAUUGUUAUGGCAGGAAAAAUGUUUUGUUUUAUAAUAUUCUCUCUUAAAUGGUCAUUUCUUUUCAUGAUGUCCAUGCAAAUUGUUUAUAUUUCUACCACUAAUUACGAUAUAGUUAAAAUGUACCAAUUAAUGGUACCUUAUAUAAUACCAAAUAAAACGAGACCAAAAGACCUGGAUCAAAUGAACACUUGCGAAUGCCCCAGAGUUUAUUGGCCAGCAUGUGCAACAGAUAAUAUUACAUAUGUCAAUGUGUGCAUAUUACUAUGUUUAAAUAAAACACUGCGACGAUAUGGACCAUGCAUUACUUACCGAAGGAAUUUUAACAAGAAGAUACGCGUCUACGUUCCAUCGAUUUGGAAAGUGCGUAGAAAAAGAGUUCGUAUUUAAAUAGAUACCACUAAAUUGUUUGCUUGUGUAUACUUAGUUCAUUUAGCAAAGAAGAAUAUGUGUUAUGACAUAUAGUAACCAAAUUUUUAAUCAUAGUUUACAAAAUAUUAUAGGAUUUUGCAAAAUUUCAACCAAAAUAGGUAAGUUUUUAUGGUUACUGAAGUUAUUUAAGUAUGUAUGUUAUACUAUAAUAAAAGCAUAUUUUUUACGAUGUGGAUUGAAUGAAGUUAAAAACAUCGGUCAUUUUGACGGUAUGAUCCAUGAACAACGCUGAUUCGAAAAUUAGGACAAUCAAGCGUUGUUAAAAUAGGAAGACCCUCCCGGGUGGCGUUUGUAUUGAUUAAAUAUUGUAUUGAUAUUAAGGUUAGCCAGUUAAUGUUAGUCUUAGUGAUUGGUUCUUUAAUUAAAUAUCAAAUUAUAUUUGAAUAAAAUCUUGUCUUAAAAAUAAA
This is a long non-coding RNA of Danaus plexippus (monarch butterfly), 928 nucleotides long. RefSeq lists it as uncharacterized. NCBI's taxonomy places the organism in Eukaryota, Metazoa, Arthropoda, Insecta, Lepidoptera, Nymphalidae. The transcript is spliced from 2 exons. The record is from RefSeq and is a predicted model, not a curated record.